AAUGGGAGGAAAAGAAACCAACUGGGAUUACCUUAGUAACGGCGAGUGAAGCGGUAAAAGCUCCAAAUUUGAAAUUCUGGUACUUUCAGUGCCCGAGUUGUAAUUUGUAGAAUUUGUCUUUGAUUAGGUCCUUGUCUAUGUUCCUUGGAACAGGACGUCAUAGAGGGUGAGAAUCCCGUUUGGCGAGGAUACCUUUUCUCUGUAAGACUUUUUCGAAGAGUCGAGUUGUUUGGGAAUGCAGCUCAAAGUGGGUGGUAAAUUCCAUCUAAAGCUAAAUAUUGGCGAGAGACCGAUAGCGAACAAGUACAGUGAUGGAAAGAUGAAAAGAACUUUGAAAAGAGAGUGAAAAAGUACGUGAAAUUGUUGAAAGGGAAGGGCAUUUGAUCAGACAUGGUGUUUUUUGCAUGCACUCGCCUCUCGUGGGCUUGGGCCUCUCAAAAAUUUCACUGGGCCAACAUCAAUUCUGGCAGCAGGAUAAAUCAUUAAGAAUGUAGCUACUUCGGUAGUGUUAUAGCUUUUUGGAAUACUGUUAGCCGGGAUUGAGGACUGCGCUUCGGCAAGGAUGUUGGCAUAAUGGUUAAAUGCCGCCCGUCUA
Molecule: ribosomal RNA, 595 nt
Filed under: Hanseniaspora uvarum
Lineage: Eukaryota; Fungi; Ascomycota; Saccharomycetes; Saccharomycodales; Saccharomycodaceae
Description: eukaryotic LSU rRNA
Rfam family: Eukaryotic large subunit ribosomal RNA
Source: RNAcentral